This 76-nucleotide transfer RNA is filed under the name Vreelandella halophila. RNAcentral's name for it is "tRNA-Ala". It matches the Rfam family "tRNA". From Rfam's summary of the family: Transfer RNA (tRNA) molecules are approximately 80 nucleotides in length. Their secondary structure includes four short double-helical elements and three loops (D, anti-codon, and T loops). The record is from RNAcentral. RNAcentral also lists the same sequence under 6 other names. Lineage: Bacteria; Pseudomonadati; Pseudomonadota; Gammaproteobacteria; Oceanospirillales; Halomonadaceae.
GGGGCCGUAGCUCAGUUGGGAGAGCGCCUGCCUUGCACGCAGGAGGUCAGGAGUUCGAUUCUCCUCGGCUCCACCA